CAAUAGCGUAUAUUAAAGUUGUUGCAGUUAAAAAGCUCGUAGUUGGAUAUCUGACCUUGCAUAGACGGCCCGCCCUUGUGGUUGUGUGCUGGAGUGCUGGUCUCUUUUUCGGUUGAUGGCGAUGCAGCUUACCCUGCGUCGUGGUUAUCCGGAUCGUUUACUUUGAAAAAAUUGGAGUGUUCAAAGCAGGCUUAUGCCGUGAACAGUUUAGCAUGGAAUAAUACUAUAGGACAGUCGUGUCUUAUUUUGUUGGUUCUAAGACCGUUGUAAUGAUUGAUAGGGACAGUUGGGGGUGCUGCUAUUCCGCGGCCAGAGGUGAAAUUCUCAGAUUCCCGGAAGAGCAACUUAUGCGAAAGCAUUCACCAAGGAUGUCUUCUCUGA
RNAcentral lists this ribosomal RNA (381 nucleotides) under uncultured eukaryote. Its description in RNAcentral is "partial 18S ribosomal RNA". It matches the Rfam family "Eukaryotic small subunit ribosomal RNA", at positions 592 to 976 of the family's 1831-position model. The record is from RNAcentral.